This 450-nucleotide ribosomal RNA is filed under the name uncultured bacterium. RNAcentral's name for it is "partial 16S ribosomal RNA". It matches the Rfam family "Bacterial small subunit ribosomal RNA", at positions 354 to 796 of the family's 1533-position model. The record is from RNAcentral.
GUGGGGAAUUUUGGACAAUGGGCGAAAGCCUGAUCCAGCCAUGCCGCGUGCAGGAUGAAGGCCUUCGGGUUGUAAACUGCUUUUGUACGGAACGAAAAGACUCCUUCUAAUAAAGGGGGUCCAUGACGGUACCGUAAGAAUAAGCACCGGCUAACUACGUGCCAGCAGCCGCGGUAAUACGUAGGGUGCAAGCGUUAAUCGGAAUUACUGUGCGUAAAGCGUGCGCAGGCGGUUAUAUAAGACAGAUGUGAAAUCCCCGGGCUCAACCUGGGAACUGCAUUUGUGACUGUAUAGCUAGAGUACGGUAGAGGGGGAUGGAAUUCCGCGAGUAGCAGUGAAAUGCGUAGAUAUGCGGAGUAACACCGAUGGCGAAGGCAAUCCCCUGGACCUGUACUGACGCUCAUGCACGAAAGCGUGGGGAGCAAACAGGAUUAGAAACCCGGGUAGUCC